RNAcentral lists this ribosomal RNA (578 nucleotides) under Hanseniaspora uvarum. RNAcentral's name for it is "eukaryotic LSU rRNA". It matches the Rfam family "Eukaryotic large subunit ribosomal RNA", at positions 52 to 644 of the family's 3401-position model. Lineage: Eukaryota; Fungi; Ascomycota; Saccharomycetes; Saccharomycodales; Saccharomycodaceae. The record is from RNAcentral.
GGAGGAAAAGAAACCAACUGGGAUUACCUUAGUAACGGCGAGUGAAGCGGUAAAAGCUCAAAUCUGAAAUCUGGUACUUUCAGUGCCCGAGUUGUAAUUUGUAGAAUUUGUCUUUGAUUAGGUCCUUGUCUAUGUUCCUUGGAACAGGACGUCAUAGAGGGUGAGAAUCCCGUUUGGCGAGGAUACCUUUUCUCUGUAAGACUUUUUCGAAGAGUCGAGUUGUUUGGGAAUGCAGCUCAAAGUGGGUGGUAAAUUCCAUCUAAAGCUAAAUAUUGGCGAGAGACCGAUAGCGAACAAGUACAGUGAUGGAAAGAUGAAAAGAACUUUGAAAAGAGAGUGAAAAAGUACGUGAAAUUGUUGAAAGGGAAGGGCAUUUGAUCAGACAUGGUGUUUUUUGCAUGCACUCGCCUCUCGUGGGCUUGGGCCUCUCAAAAAUUUCACUGGGCCAACAUCAAUUCUGGCAGCAGGAUAAAUCAUUAAGAAUGUAGCUACUUCGGUAGUGUUAUAGCUUUUUGGAAUACUGUUAGCCGGGAUUGAGGACUGCGCUUCGGCAAGGAUGUUGGCAUAAUGGUUAAAUG